This 330-nucleotide ribosomal RNA is filed under the name uncultured Bacillota bacterium. RNAcentral's name for it is "bacterial SSU rRNA". It matches the Rfam family "Bacterial small subunit ribosomal RNA", at positions 28 to 351 of the family's 1533-position model. The record is from RNAcentral. Lineage: Bacteria; Bacillati; Bacillota.
GACGAACGCUGGCGGCGUGCCUAACACAUGCAAGUCGAACGGAGAUAUUAAUGAAGCUUGCGAUUUAAUAUCUUAGUGGCGGACGGGUGAGUAACGCGUGGGUAAUCUGCCCAUAAGUGGGGAACAACAGUUGGAAACGACUGCUAAUACCGCAUACCUUGAGCAAUCAAGAAAGGUGGCCUCUGAAUAUGCUGCCGCUUAUGGAUGAGCCCGCGUCUGAUUAGCUAGUUGGUGGGUAACGGCCUACCAAGGCUGCGAUCAGUAGCCGGCCUGAGAGGGUGAACGGCCACACUGGGACUGAGACACGGCCCAGACUCCUACGGGAGGCAG